CGACGGUGAGUAACGCGUAUGCAACUUGCCUAUCGGAGGGGGACGAACCGGCGAAAGUCGGACUAAUACCGCAUGAAGCAGGGGCCCCGCAUGGGGAUAUUUGCUAAAGAUUCAUCGCUGAUAGAUAGGCAUGCGUUCCAUUAGGCAGUUGGCGGGGUAGCGGCCCACCAAACCGACGAUGGAUAGGGGUUCUGAGAGGAAGGUCCCCCACAUUGGUACUGAGACACGGACCAA
This 234-nucleotide ribosomal RNA is filed under the name uncultured bacterium. RNAcentral's name for it is "partial 16S ribosomal RNA". It matches the Rfam family "Bacterial small subunit ribosomal RNA", at positions 105 to 334 of the family's 1533-position model. The record is from RNAcentral.